This is a long non-coding RNA of Pecten maximus, 100 nucleotides long. RefSeq lists it as uncharacterized. The record is from RefSeq and is a predicted model, not a curated record. Lineage: Eukaryota; Metazoa; Mollusca; Bivalvia; Pectinida; Pectinidae. The transcript is spliced from 2 exons.
GGUCUGAGUUUCAGUGUUCCGGACAGGGUGUCUAUUCCACCUAGCUUAAGGAAUAUUUUCAAGGAGGUGAAAAAUAAUAUACCAGGAUUCCAACAUCCAG